RNAcentral lists this unclassified non-coding RNA (240 nucleotides) under soil metagenome. RNAcentral's name for it is "partial contains 5.8S ribosomal RNA, internal transcribed spacer 2, and large subunit ribosomal RNA". The record is from RNAcentral.
AACGCACGAGACCUGCGGACCUGCGGAGGGAUCAUUACCGAGUUUACAACUCCCAAACCCAAUGUGAACGUUACCAAACUGUUGCCUCGGCGGGAUCUCUGCCCCGGGUGCGUCGCAGCCCCGGACCAAGGCGCCCGCCGGAGGACCAACCAAAACUCUUAUUGUAUACCCCCUCGCGGGUUUUUUUAUAAUCUGAGCCUUCUCGGCGCCUCUCGUAGGCGUUUCGAAAAUGAAUCAAAA